CGGGACGGGUGAGUAAUGUCUGGGAAACUGCCUGAUGAGGGGGAUAACUACUGGAAACGGUAGCUAAUACCGCAUAACGUCGCAAGACCAAAGAGGGGGACCUUCGGGCCUCUUGCCAUCGGAUGUGCCCAGAUGGGAUUAGCAGUAGGUGGGGUAACGGCUCACCUAGGCGACGAUCCCUAGCUGGUCUGAGAGGAUGACCAGCCACACUGGAACUGAGACACGGUCCAG
RNAcentral lists this ribosomal RNA (231 nucleotides) under uncultured bacterium. RNAcentral's name for it is "partial 16S ribosomal RNA". It matches the Rfam family "Bacterial small subunit ribosomal RNA", at positions 100 to 334 of the family's 1533-position model. The record is from RNAcentral.